UUGCAAGUGUUUCAGGUCUUACCAAUGAAGGUAUUCUCUUUUGGUUGGAUUGCUUGGACUUGGUGAGUCAGGAUCCACCAUCACCUAUUGAGGACUCUUCUUCAGUUGCUGAUCUCUUGUCUUAAAAAGGGAACUGUAUAUGUCAACUUAUUUGUACUUCAGAUAAAAGAUGAGGCAAAGGUGUGUUAGAUUAGGUCUACAUUGAUCUUGACUAGCAGGGGACCAUAGAAUCUAAUUUUAUUCCUGUACUUUACAGUAAAGUUUAUGUGGACUUCAUUCUCCUGAUACUGCUGCAUUCUGUAGGUUUUCAGCUUCGCAAGUUCGAGCAAUUAUGAAUAAAAAUUUGUAAGCAAUUUCCCAAAGCUAGAAAGAGAAGCCUUACUAUGUUUGAUUAGAGAAGUACCACCGCACCUGAAUUCGAAGGUAAUAAAUGUCAAAUGUGCAUAGUGUUAUUUCUCAGGCCUGAAUUUCAAUUGAGUGAGUCAAAACAAAGAAUUGCAAAGAGUUUAGUUAUAAGAGAUGAUGAACCUUAAAGUUGAUGGAAUAUGUGGAUUGCCUUUUGGUUUGGUUUGGUUUGUGGCUACACGGUCUUGAUCCUUGACCAACGAAUAAAGCAGUGCCGCCCUUCACGUGGGCAUAUCCCAUUGGUCCAGGCACUCGAAUAGUGCAUCGAACUCGGCGGAGAAUGAUAGACAUCACAUGGGCUGCCCAAGUACAGACAUGGACAUUUGACAGAGAUACUUCCAGCUUGGAAUUACAUGAAACAGACAUCGAUAUGGAGGAAAUAACUUCCAGAAAAGGAAAAAAAUAAUAAUUCUGCGUGGUUUUGGAUUUUGUGAAAAAUCUGGAUAUUGCUGGACUGCUGCGUUCUUCCAUUGGUGGCUGCUGAAAAGCUGGAUUCUGCUGCCUUCUGGUUAUGUGCUCUCAUAGAGAAAAGCUGUAGGCAAUCACCAGUUGAUCACCGUCUAUGAGUAUUACGUCAAGAUGGAUUCCGAGCCUCUUGGAUGGUAAAUCUGUUUUAUGUUGUGAGAAAUCUGACAUGGCACACAAGUAACUGAUCAAGGCAACGAGACGCCGACUAAGAUUAUUUGGUCGCAAUACUUGUAAUGUACUGCCUAGCCAUUUUUUUCACUGCCUCUAGGGUAGUGCCAGCAAUUUUGUUUUCUCUUUUGGGUACGUAGGCUGCCAUGCUCUGAGAGUUGAACCGAUCACUCAGAAUCUGGGCAUGGACAGGGGAAUCCUUCUGGAAACGACUAGCACUGCACUUAAGCUCAGGCCUAAGAGUUAUAAGCUACUCAGAGACUAUAGCUGCCAGGGGCAAAAAAGAGGUAUGGGGUCGAUUGUUUUUAAAUUUUUAAUCAUACAAGUACCAGCAGAUUUAUUAGCUAUCCUUUUUAUUCUUUCUCAGCCAUCUUCUUUCUUAAGCCUCUUAAUCUAAGGCUGGCCUCUGUGUCUUGCAUCGACGGCGCCUGUGGCUCGUCAUUUCUCGCCCCGGCGGCCACCAGAUGUGUCCGGGCGCUUAUGCCUUGUAGUUGAGUUCACCGAGUGUGUUUUAGAGGGGAAAACAGAGGGCUAAAGUAGGAAACGGCAUGUAGCUGCUCUGCUGGUGCUGGAUAUAUCUAGGGACAGCGUACUUGCGGCAUCGGUACAUGUGCUGCAAGUUGUACAUGCAGACCUGUGCUGGUCAAAUGAGCGUUUCGAGUGGAGUGCCGCUUGCUUGA
Molecule: long non-coding RNA, 1721 nt
Organism: Hordeum vulgare subsp. vulgare (domesticated barley)
Lineage: Eukaryota; Viridiplantae; Streptophyta; Magnoliopsida; Poales; Poaceae
Exons: 2
Source: RefSeq, a predicted model, not a curated record